RNAcentral lists this ribosomal RNA (497 nucleotides) under uncultured bacterium. Its description in RNAcentral is "partial 16S ribosomal RNA". It matches the Rfam family "Bacterial small subunit ribosomal RNA", at positions 28 to 507 of the family's 1533-position model. The record is from RNAcentral.
GAUGAACGCUGGCGGCGUGCCUAAUACAUGCAAGUCGAGCGAACGGACGAGAAGCUUGCUCCUCUGAUGUUAGCGGCGGACGGGUGAGUAACACGUGGAUAACCUACCUAUAAGACUGGGAUAACUUCGGGAAACCGGAGCUAAUACCGGAUAAUAUAUUGAACCGCAUGGUUCAAUAGUGAAAGACGGUCUUGCUGUCACUUAUAGAUGGAUCCGCGCUGCAUUAGCUAGUUGGUAAGGUAACGGCUUACCAAGGCAACGAUGCAUAGCCGACCUGAGAGGGUGAUCGGCCACACUGGAACUGAGACACGGUCCAGACUCCUACGGGAGGCAGCAGUAGGGAAUCUUCCGCAAUGGGCGAAAGCCUGACGGAGCAACGCCGCGUGAGUGAUGAAGGUCUUCGGAUCGUAAAACUCUGUUAUUAGGGAAGAACAAAUGUGUAAGUAACUAUGCACGUCUUGACGGUACCUAAUCAGAAAGCCACGGCUAACUACGUG